RNAcentral lists this long non-coding RNA (804 nucleotides) under Nicotiana benthamiana. Its description in RNAcentral is "long non-coding RNA (NBEN_LNC022587)". The record is from RNAcentral. Lineage: Eukaryota; Viridiplantae; Streptophyta; Magnoliopsida; Solanales; Solanaceae.
UACAAUGAACUUGUAGUCCAAUCAUAUGUUAAAUGAUUAAUAAUAUAGGAACAAUCAUAUUCUAAAGAGUUAUUCUAUAAAAACAAAAUUAAAUUCAAAUGGAGAAAUGUAUAAAUAACCUGUUUAAAUCGUCCACAACAAUCAGAUAGGCGCCUCAAUUUAUUGUAUUAUCAAUUAGAUACUUCUUUUCAAUUGAAAUAUGACCUCAUAAACCCUCACGCUGACAUACCAAAGAGAGUGCUUUAUUUUCACAUUUGAGCAUGUAAUACCCUCAAAAUUAUAUUUUUUCCUUUAAAAAGAAAAUUAACCUUACUUUAUGUGGAUCAACCACAACUUUUAUGUGGGUCCCACUAUAUUUAAAGUUUUUUCCCACAUUAAUUCCCCUUUCUUUCAAAAAUAAUUCAUUUCCACCACUAAACUUUCCUGACCUAAACAUGGCAACGUUUGUAGCUUAUUCACCUUCCGACGUGAAUCCACCUCAUCUCAUUCAAUAUUAAAAUAGCCACCAAGCCAUAAUAAUAUCAAUUGACCACCCUAAAAUUUCGGUCUCAUUUCCAGCAGUUCACCAACUCCCUUUUGAGUUUAAAAAUUAAGUUGUCUUUUAGCAAUUGGUAGCGAAAGCUCCACUUGUUCUGCAUUCCAUCGGCGGGGGUUUAGCAACAAAUGAAGCACAGUAGUAUUCACCUACCAGCAAGCCAAAUAAUUGUGUAAUUAAGUUGUCAUUUGGACUAAGAGAUUGUGAAUUUUGUUAGAUAUGGUAGGUGGAGUUUGGAAGAAAGAAGAAGGGGCGAGAUGAACAAGAGC